Molecule: ribosomal RNA, 142 nt
Filed under: uncultured bacterium
Lineage: Bacteria
Description: partial 16S ribosomal RNA
Rfam family: Bacterial small subunit ribosomal RNA
Source: RNAcentral
GUGGGGGAGUAUUGCACAAUGGGGGGAACCCGGUCGAUGCAGCGACGCCGCGUGGGUGAAGAAGCGCCUCGGCGCGUAAAGCCCUGUCAGCAGGGAAGAAAAUGACGGUACCUGAAGAAGAAGCCCCGGCUAACUACGUGCC